This 1036-nucleotide ribosomal RNA is filed under the name Helicobacter pylori FD662. RNAcentral describes it as "bacterial SSU rRNA". It matches the Rfam family "Bacterial small subunit ribosomal RNA", at positions 501 to 1533 of the family's 1533-position model. Lineage: Bacteria; Pseudomonadati; Campylobacterota; Epsilonproteobacteria; Campylobacterales; Helicobacteraceae. The record is from RNAcentral.
CUCCGUGCCAGCAGCCGCGGUAAUACGGAGGGUGCAAGCGUUACUCGGAAUCACUGGGCGUAAAGAGCGCGUAGGCGGGAUAGUCAGUCAGGUGUGAAAUCCUAUGGCUUAACCAUAGAACUGCAUUUGAAACUACUAUUCUAGAGUGUGGGAGAGGUAGGUGGAAUUCUUGGUGUAGGGGUAAAAUCCGUAGAGAUCAAGAGGAAUACUCAUUGCGAAGGCGACCUGCUGGAACAUUACUGACGCUGAUUGUGCGAAAGCGUGGGGAGCAAACAGGAUUAGAUACCCUGGUAGUCCACGCCCUAAACGAUGGAUGCUAGUUGUUGGAGGGCUUAGUCUCUCCAGUAAUGCAGCUAACGCAUUAAGCAUCCCGCCUGGGGAGUACGGUCGCAAGAUUAAAACUCAAAGGAAUAGACGGGGACCCGCACAAGCGGUGGAGCAUGUGGUUUAAUUCGAAGAUACACGAAGAACCUUACCUAGGCUUGACAUUGAGAGAAUCCGCUAGAAAUAGUGGAGUGUCUGGCUUGCCAGACCUUGAAAACAGGUGCUGCACGGCUGUCGUCAGCUCGUGUCGUGAGAUGUUGGGUUAAGUCCCGCAACGAGCGCAACCCCCUUUCUUAGUUGCUAACAGGUUAUGCUGAGAACUCUAAGGAUACUGCCUCCGUAAGGAGGAGGAAGGUGGGGACGACGUCAAGUCAUCAUGGCCCUUACGCCUAGGGCUACACACGUGCUACAAUGGGGUGCACAAAGAGAAGCAAUACUGCGAAGUGGAGCCAAUCUUCAAAACACCUCUCAGUUCGGAUUGUAGGCUGCAACUCGCCUGCAUGAAGCUGGAAUCGCUAGUAAUCGCAAAUCAGCCAUGUUGCGGUGAAUACGUUCCCGGGUCUUGUACUCACCGCCCGUCACACCAUGGGAGUUGUGUUUGCCUUAAGUCAGGAUGCUAAAUUGGCUACUGCCCACGGCACACACAGCGACUGGGGUGAAGUCGUAACAAGGUAACCGUAGGUGAACCUGCGGUUGGAUCACCUCCUUUCUA